RNAcentral lists this ribosomal RNA (405 nucleotides) under uncultured bacterium. RNAcentral describes it as "bacterial SSU rRNA". It matches the Rfam family "Bacterial small subunit ribosomal RNA", at positions 355 to 774 of the family's 1533-position model. The record is from RNAcentral.
UGGGGGAUAUUGCACAAUGGAGGAAACUCUGAUGCAGCGACGCCGCGUGAGGGAAGAAGGUCUUCGGAUUGUAAACCUCUGUCUUUGGGGACGAAGAAAGUGACGGUACCCAAAGAGGAAGCCACGGCUAACUACGUGCCAGCAGCCGCGGUAAUACGUAGGUGGCGAGCGUUGUCCGGCAUUACUGGGUGUAAAGGGUGCGUAGGCGGACUGGCAAGUUGGAUGUGAAAUCUCCGCGCUUAACGUGGAGGUUGCAUUCAAAACUGUUGGGCUUGAGUGAGGCAGAGGCAGGGGGAAUGCCGGGUGUAGCGGUGAAAUGCGUAGAGAUCGGGAGGAACACCAGUGGCGAAGGCGGCCUGCUGGGCCUUAACUGACGCUGAGGCACGAAAGCAUGGGUAGCAAACA